AACAUUCAUGGAAACCAUGAUAUUGGGGUGAUUGACCCCCCCCAAAUGGUGUUAGGUUCCUUAACUAAACAAUCCACUCGUGCGGUGAGAGUGGAUGGAGCAGCCUGUAUUGGGAGAGUGACUAUUUCAACUUUAAACCUUCCUGCACAUCAGCUGAGCAAUAUGGGGAGGUGUGAAAUUUAAGUAGUACUCUCCCCAUUUUCCCCUGAUUUAGGGACAAAAAACCUGGAUAACAUCCAAGCAAUUCUAAGGCUGCCAGAGGGCCAUCACUAAUCAUGACACUGGGUUAGUUAUACUAAGCAUUUUGGAGAGAGACAGGGAUCUGAACAUGGAGCUGCUGUUUUUGGCAGCAACCCAGUAUUCCUUUUUUAUUUCCUGUUUUACAUUCUGAAUAAGUUAUUGAAUAUGGGUGUUGUUGUUUUUUAAAUUGUGUAACCUUCACUGAUAUGCUGCUUUCAAAUAGUUGUGUGUGUGUGUUUUCAAUUCUUCUCUGUUUCUUGAAAUUGGCUGGAAUGGUGUGUAGGAGGAAGACAUGAAGCAUGCCAGAAAGAGAAAUGGCUGCUCUGCUUGGUAAUGAGGAGCAGUCAAAAGGCUGGUGACAGACACCAAGUGGAUGGGACCUAGAGAGCUGUUUCCAGGAAGAAGGGAGUUCUUUGUUAGAGAAGCGAGGCUGGAGGUGCACAGGAGGACAUGUGGCCAUGGAGGUUGGCUGCAGGAGAAUAACUCUGCAGAUCCUUGAAAGAUCAGGAGGGCAGGAAGCUUGAAUUCUCAUCUGGAGUUUGGUGAGUUCAGGGCAAGGAAGGGCUCAUCACUUCAGAAAGUAUAGCAUAGGGGAAAGUUUGUUUAGUCAGAUUUUGUGUUAGGGAUGUUAUAUUUAUUUGGUGUGUGUGCUUUUGCAUAUUCCUGAUACUGUUAUGUUAUUGUUUCCCUGUAACACAGUUAAAAUUAGAAAACUAGCCUAUGCCCACCCUACCUAGGGCAUUGCAAAAGACUCUAUAAAUAUUUAAGCGUG
This is a long non-coding RNA of Hemicordylus capensis (graceful crag lizard), 1012 nucleotides long. RefSeq lists it as uncharacterized. NCBI's taxonomy places the organism in Eukaryota, Metazoa, Chordata, Lepidosauria, Squamata, Cordylidae. The record is from RefSeq and is a predicted model, not a curated record. The transcript is spliced from 2 exons.